AAAAAUGUAGAAUAUGGGCAUUUUCUAACUCAUUCAUGUCCAUCAACAAAAUUUGGGGUAAUGAGCACACUUCGGUUGUGCUGACCCUUACGAAUUCCCCAAAUGCGGGAAUCUUGACUGCAUAAUUUCUGGUAGUGGGGGACUGCGGUCGCGCUCUCCCCUG
Small nuclear RNA from Colossoma macropomum (tambaqui), 163 nucleotides. RefSeq annotates it as U1 spliceosomal RNA. The transcript has a single exon. The record is from RefSeq and is a predicted model, not a curated record. NCBI's taxonomy places the organism in Eukaryota, Metazoa, Chordata, Actinopteri, Characiformes, Serrasalmidae.